UUAAAAUUUCCUUAAAGCUUACAUAAAAAGUAAACUAUUAAAUGCACAGAAAUUUCACCAUGUUUUAAAUUACAUCUCAGUUUAUACUUUAAGCUGAUAAAGUAUGCUUUUUUAAGGUGCCUUAAUAAUCCUUUACUAUUUUGUUAAAAUGGCAAAGAAUAAAAACAGAAAUUAACAAUCAUUAUUGUGGAACUUAAUGUAAUGUUACUUAACAAAGUAGUAAAUGAUGUUUUCAUUCCUCAAAACAAACAUAAACAGUUUAGUGACAGAGGUUUUACAACAAAAACAAUACUUAUCCUUAACACUAAAUGUAGCAGGUAUCUUCAGUUUUACAUCUCUCCGAAUAUGAUCUGUUGUCUCCAGUUUUUAACUAAAACACAGAAGCUAAUUUUACCCAAUCCAUUUUCAGAUGUGUGAUGUAAGAUCUAUUAGCUCCAGUUCACACUCCAGACCAGAUGGUGAUGAUAAUGCACACUUUUCAAAAAACUGAAAGUUUAUAAAGAGUAUAGAGAGCCUUGAUAAUAGUAGUUUUGAUAAAUUCAAGCUGGUGCUGUCCUAUGCAGAGUUAAAUGAUAACACAACAGAACAAGAACUGGAUGGAAAUUAAAUUUGGGUCACGAAAGGAGCCCGAAAGGACGAAGACUGUUAACGUGUUGCUAGCUGGUGUCAAAGCAAAUGAAGACGAAAAAGGAAGCCAGGGAUCGGGAAUUAGAAAACCUAAAGACUUUCCUGUCUCAGAGGCUCUGGCUCCACCAGAUCACCAACCAGUUCUGAGGAUGAACCUCCAUGUCUUCAUAGGGUACAGCAAGUUUUUUUUCCCUUGUCUACGGAACUGGUGUGUUUCCAAUAAUAAAUGUUAAUAAACAUGAUUUGAUUGAAAAGUAAUUGGACAGAAUUUAUUCCCCUUAAAAUGUAUGAAACAUUUCGGUUUCAUACAUUUUGUUUGUUGUCCUGUUGCCCUGUGAUGGGUGAAUCCCACCUCUCAUCUGAUGACUGCUGGAGAUGGGCACCACCAGCCCCCCUCAACACCCUCUAAGGAUCAGUGUGUUCAGAUCACGGAUGGAAAGAUUUUAAGGUAGUUUGUCUCCCUGAAAUCCACAAGUAAGCCACACUUUAUAGCUAACACCAUCCUACUUCUAACAUAAACAGGCAAAGAAGUCACCUAGAAAUGUUUUUUCACCCCAGGCAUCUGGUCCCAAUCAUCACACUAAUUCUGAUGCCACAUACAAAGCAAGUCUACAAUGUCCUAAAAUUGUUUCUGUAAAGUACAAUGAAUGGGAAAGUUCUGUCAGUGAUCCUCACUGUUCCUAAGAUGGAGAGAUCUUUGUUUGUCUGGAGUAAUACUGGAAUACUGUGGCAUUGAAUUAAAACAAUAUUUACGAUAAAGUGUCCCAAUUUUUUGUAUUGUGCUAAUUUUUAUAAGCAUAUCUGUAAACAUAAUAUAUUUGCAGUCUGUGAGUGAUGGUGUAUUAACAAUUUACACUUGAAAAAUAUGAACAUAUUGAAUAAACAUUGUA
Long non-coding RNA from Gambusia affinis (western mosquitofish), 1517 nucleotides. RefSeq lists it as uncharacterized. The transcript is spliced from 3 exons. The record is from RefSeq and is a predicted model, not a curated record. NCBI's taxonomy places the organism in Eukaryota, Metazoa, Chordata, Actinopteri, Cyprinodontiformes, Poeciliidae.